Polypterus senegalus (gray bichir) is the source of this 3321-nucleotide long non-coding RNA. RefSeq lists it as uncharacterized. Lineage: Eukaryota; Metazoa; Chordata; Cladistia; Polypteriformes; Polypteridae. The transcript has 3 exons. The record is from RefSeq and is a predicted model, not a curated record.
AGCACUCAGACUGUCAUUGGAAAGGAAUUGGUCUCUAAGUUCAGAAGUGUUCUACGGAAUAAAAAGACGUCUCAUUUAUAAAGAAAUGGAUUGCCGUUUAAUCUCCGGCUCGUGGAAUGAAAGAAAGAGGACUUCGAGAGAGGACGAAGUGGUUCCUUAAUCUUGCAGCCAAUAAACGUCUGCCACCAGCAUGACUGGCAGGAUGAAGAUCCAACAGUACACUGAACUGCCUUCUUUGUCAAAAUCUGGACAUUGUGGAUAAUUCUCUGCAAGUGCAGGAAAAACAACAGAUGGAACCUUGGAAAAGCAAAAUGUCAGGAAAAUGACAAAACUGUAGAAGACAAGAAGACACAGAGCAACACCAGUGUUCAUGCAGGCAAAUGAAUCACCAUAGAAGACAUACAAGAUGCCUGGUCAGACUUUUCAACCGUAACAGUCCCUUCGAGCCACUUCAGUCAGCUUGUCAUCAUUAUUUCUGUUUAGGUUUAAGUGGUAAGCAUAUCUUAAAGGUUUGUUUAUUCUAAAAAUUGACUAAAUCCUUGCUUAUUCAUUUGGAAGUAAGUAUUAAGGGUGGAGGGCACCUGCAUAUGAUGUUUCAUAACAACAGUGCUCUUUCUUUCUCUAAGCCCAAGCUGGUCUGCACUCAAUGUGUUUGUCAUUUUUGGCUCCCCCUCUCUCCCUUCCGCUUCCCUCUGGCUCCUCCCCAUUCAUCUCUCCAUUAUAACUGUCUGAUAUACAAGGCCUUGUGUUCCUUUUAAAGGGUAGAAUAAGAAAAAAAACUAUGAGAAAAGAUGUUCUUACACAGCUGACCAACUGCUGUUUUGUAAAUAACCCUAACAUGUCAUUCUUAUUGAGGCAUUAGGGGCAGUUAGUGUACUAUCCUUCCUUUCCUGGCCAUUUCUGAGAUGUCUGUCUGUGUACACUGUAAACAAGUCGUAUGCUUAGUUACAGUUUACCUUUGUGCAGUCAGAACUGUAUACACAAUGUGGAAACAACCAAAAUGAAAUACUAAUAAAUAAAAAUGAGAAAAAUAAUUGGCUCUUCUUCUUUGGAAUUCUCCUUUACUUUCUGCUGUCCCUCUGCUAACAGUCCCAUUUUCCUUUCCCACUCUCAUUCCUAUUCCCUUAGACAGUGCCCAGCUCAAGCUGGCCUCUUCCAUAUAAAAGCUUCACAGGAUUUGGACAGUAGGUGUCCUAUCAUUGCCAGAUCUAUCCCUUCUGCUCUUCACAGUGCUGCUAUGCCAUAAAGACAAAAGGCUUUAUUACCACUCACCAGUUGUAGUCUUGCCUCCCCUUCCUUUCUCACCCAGUUCCCAGCCUCUUCUUCUUCUUCCCAGCAAUCCCUGCAUAGGGCACUCCCAUGUAGGUUAAAAUAGCAGGGGAGAUUCAAAGGACUGUACCACUGAAUGGUAGCUCAGCUGUUUGCAUAGUGCUUGUCCAGACAAGCUGUCACACUGCUCCAUUCAGCAUUUAGCCCCCAAGGGCUUUCCAGUAAUUAAACACAAGAUAAUAAGUUCUUAGAGGUCACUAACGAAAUGUCUUCACCUACUUUAUUAUAAUCAUAAUAGCCAGUGUCAAAAAAAUACUGAACAACUUGAAAGGUCUAUUAUAAUCAUAAUAGCCAGUGUCAAAGAAAUAUUGAACAACUUGAAAGGUCAUAUGCAAAAUCAAAAACAAAAUAUUCCUCUAAUGUCAGUCUGUGUGAUUUGGUGGCUAAAUGGGUGCUUGAAUGGUGAGUAGUAGACACUUCUAUUUGGCGUUAGAAGAAAAGGGUGAAUGACAGCAGCUGGUUACCAGUUUAGAGCUGCCAAAUGCUCAUGUAUGAGUGGAAUUCACAUGUUGCCAAAUCAACCAGAUCCAUGCAGUGGCUUUCUUUAAAAGUAAAGAUAUAUAUAAAUUCAAAUGUAAAGCUUUUUUCAAGGAUCAUUUCAUGCCUGGGUUUUUUUUUAAGUGGUGCUUAUUUGCCACCUGCCACAAAUGGAAUCAGUUGCUGAAAUCUGACCAACCGGUCUGAAACUUUGCACCUGUUAUCACAGAUUAGGCGUGCUUUUCAGCAUGUGGGCUACACACAAAAACCUAUUUAUUUUAAGCAGUGCAUGCAGCUCUGAAGACAGAUAUCUCUGAACAGAUAACACAAACGGAUAAAAUGAAGCCUGCCAACAUGUAAAAAUUCUGGUUAAUCAUAUUGUAGAACUGAGUAGAUAAAAUCAACACGAAAAAAUCUUGCAUAACUACUUGUUACAGCUUCAGACCUUUGGACCAUGCUUAUGAAUAAUAAUGAUUUGGUAGGCUACUGGUUAUGAUUUCUUGUUAAAAAAAGUAUGGUGUAUUUAAUUCCUGGAGUGGUUCAUAUGGGACUUUAAGGUAUCUUAUUGAAAAAUCAGAAAAUCUCCCUUUCCUUAUUUAUACCCGGAAUCUAAAAACAAAAAAAUGCCCUUUUUCUGUCCAUCCUCUAACAUUGUUGCACCCUAAUGUUAAUGUUCAGAAUUCAUUACAAUUUCUAUUUCAAGUGUCAAAGACUUCAGUUAUUACAGGAGAAUGUGGGCAUGUAGUAUCAGGCUUUGUAGGCUGAUAGAUGCAGAGGACAGAAAGAUAUGAAAAAAGAUGAUCUGCUGUGGCAACCCCUAAUGAGAGCAGCCAAAAGAAGAAGAAUCAAACAUGUCCAUUAUUAUUCAUUUACAAUGAACUGAGCAUAUUCAUUUUUGAAUACAGAUGUACAAAAGCCCCUUUGUGGCACAACACUACACCAAACAAUGUUGUGUGAAAUUCACAUGACCUCCCUGUAUGCCAGUGGGUUACUCAAGGGGAUCUGAUUAGCUUCCAUAGUUCAUGCCUGAUAUGAUAACUGGAGAAUUGCACUUAUAUAAACAUGGAUGUUUAUGUUCAUCUUUCACUGCACUGGCACAGAGACUCCAGAAACUCGUGCCUUGAUGUGUCCAGUUUAGGUGCUGAACUCUAAGUAUUCUUCUUCAUGAAGGUUUCUUGAAAUUAUUACAUAUUGUAUAAAUCAUGUUUUUUAACAAAUUAAAAAAAUAUUUUAUAUUAAAUUGGUUGAAUAGAAUCCUCUAUUAGUAGCAUUUUGGUCAGACAUGAAAGUAAGAAAUUUGUGUACUCUGUAAAUGAUACAGUAACUUUGAACUUGAAAAUUGUAUUAUGUCAAUCAAAGGAUAUUGAACUUUUUAUAUAUAUAUGUGUAUAGAGUAUAAAUGUAUAACAACUCCCAUGCUAAAACCAAACUUAAUUUUAUAUUUUUCAAAAUGGUUGAAUCCAGAAAACAUGGAAACAGAAUAACCUGUUAUCCAUCUUAAUAAAAGGACAAGUG